GUUCCUGUCCAACGUUAAUCGGGGCAGGGUGAGUCGGCCCCUAAGGCGAGGCUGAAAAGCGUAGUCGAUGGGAAACGGGUUAAUAUUCCCGUACUUGGAUAAACUGCGAUGUGGGGACGGAGAAGGUUAGGUUAGCAGACUGUUGGAUGUCUGUUUAAGGUGGUAGGUGGAAGACUUAGGCAAAUCCGGGUCUUUAUAAAACACUGAGAGCUGAUGACGAGGUCUUAAGGGACUGAAGUAACUGAUACCCUGCUUCCAGGAAAAGCCACUAAGCUUCAGGUUUAUCUAAACCGUACUGAAAACCGACACAGGUGGUCAGGUAGAGAAUACUCAGGCGCUUGAGAGAACUCGGGUGAAGGAACUAGGCAAAAUAGCACCGUAACUUCGGGAGAAGGUGCGCUUACAGUAAUUGUAGUCCCUUGCGGAUGAAGGUGAAGUAAGUCGAAGAUACCAGCUGGCUGCAACUGUUUAUUAAAAACACAGCACUCUGCAAACACGAAAGUGGACGUAUAGGGUGUGAUGCCUGCCCGGUGCUGGAAGGUUAAUUGAUGGUGUUAUCGAAAGAGAAGCUCCUGAUCGAAGCCCCAGUAAACGGCGGCCGUAACUAUAACGGUCCUAAGGUAGCGAAAUUCCUUGUCGGGUAAGUUCCGACCUGCACGAAUGGCAUAAUGAUGGCCAGGCUGUCUCCACCCGAGACUCAGUGAAAUUGAAAUCGCCGUGAAGAUGCGGUGUACCCGCGGCUAGACGGAAAGACCCCGUGAACCUUUACUAUAGCUUGACACUGAACAUUGAAUUUUGAUGUGUAGGAUAGGUGGGAGCCUUUGAAGCAGUGACGCCAGUCAUUGUGGAGGCGACCUUGAAAUACCACCCUUUAACGUUUGAUGUUCUAACGAAGUGCCUGAAACGGGUACUCGGACAGUGUCUGGUGGGUAGUUUGACUGGGGCGGUCUCCUCCCAAAGCGUAACGGAGGAGCACGAAGGUUUGCUAAUGACGGUCGGACAUCGUCAGGUUAGUGCAAUGGUAUAAGCAAGCUUAACUGCGAGACAGACAAGUCGAGCAGGUGCGAAAGCAGGUCAUAGUGAUCCGGUGGUUCUGAAUGGAAGGGCCAUCGCUCAACGGAUAAAAGGUACUCCGGGGAUAACAGGCUGAUACCGCCCAAGAGUUCAUAUCGACGGCGGUGUUUGGCACCUCGAUGUCGGCUCAUCACAUCCUGGGGCUGAAGUAGGUCCCAAGGGUAUGGCUGUUCGCCAUUUAAAGUGGUACGCGAGCUGGGUUUA
Molecule: ribosomal RNA, 1278 nt
Filed under: Pasteurella multocida
Lineage: Bacteria; Pseudomonadati; Pseudomonadota; Gammaproteobacteria; Pasteurellales; Pasteurellaceae
Description: bacterial LSU rRNA
Rfam family: Bacterial large subunit ribosomal RNA
Source: RNAcentral